GAUGAACGCUGGCGGCGUGCCUAACACAUGCAAGUCGAGCGAAGCGAUUUAGCGGAAGUUUUCGGAUGGAAGUUAAAUUGACUGAGCGGCGACGGGUGAGGUACGCGUGGUAACCUGCCUCAUACAGGGGGAUAACAGUUAGAAAUGACUGCUAAUACCGCAUAAGCGCACAGCAUCGCAUGAUGCAGUGUGAAAAACUCCGGUGGUAUGAGAUGGACCCGCGUCUGAUUAGCUAGUUGGUGAGGUAACGGCUCACCAAGGCGACGAUCAGUAGCCGACCUGAGAGGGUGAUCGGCCACAUUGGGACUGAGACACGGCCCAA
RNAcentral lists this ribosomal RNA (322 nucleotides) under uncultured bacterium. Its description in RNAcentral is "bacterial SSU rRNA". It matches the Rfam family "Bacterial small subunit ribosomal RNA", at positions 28 to 334 of the family's 1533-position model. The record is from RNAcentral.